RNAcentral lists this long non-coding RNA (472 nucleotides) under Parus major (Great Tit). Its description in RNAcentral is "lncRNA (ENSPMJG00000012835.1)". The record is from RNAcentral. Lineage: Eukaryota; Metazoa; Chordata; Aves; Passeriformes; Paridae.
AAAACCACUUUCAUCUCUGUUGAUUCUUCUAAACUUCUUAAUGACUGUGUCAGCUUCCUAUAAUUGUUCCUCCAGUAUAGGAUUUCCUCCAUCCCCUCCUACCAGCUCAGGCAAUGUCCUUCUGGUUUAUGCUUUAAAAUACUUGGACACACCACACAGACUAAAAGAAGAAACCAGCAUAUAUUGAAUGCAGAUAAUCUUAAAAGCAAAUGGGAAAAACAGACACCUGAACUGUACUUGCAUUUGUUAUGCUUGAUCAGGAUCUGUGAGCAGUCUGUUGGCUUUAAAUGGUUGCCUUAUGAUGACGUCUCAGGAAAAGGAAAAGGAAGCAUGAGAACACUUUCCUCUCUGGUCAAGCCCUGCACCAGCAGUGGAAGAAGCAGCUAUUCCUGCAUCCCCAUCCAGUAACCAGGUGAUUAGAAAAUUCAGGUGGGUUGUGGGAGACUUGAAUUCGCAACCACCUUCUGCCUGA